UAACGUAGCGAAAGUUACGCUAAUACCGCAUAUUCUGUGAGCAGGAAAGCAGGGGAUCGCAAGACCUUGCGCUGAUUGAGCGGCUGAUAUCAGAUUAGCUAGUUGGUGAGGUAAAGGCUCACCAAGGCGACGAUCUGUAGCGGGUCUGAGAGGAUGAUCCGCCACACUGGAACUGAGACACGGUCCAGACUCCUACGGGAGGCAGCAGUGGGGAAUUUUGGACAAUGGGCGCAAGCCUGAUCCAGCAAUGCCGCGUGCAGGACGAAGGCCUUCGGGUUGUAAACUGCUUUUGUACGGAACGAAAAGGUCUGCCCUAUUACGGCGGGCUCAUGACGGUACCGUAAGAAUAAGCACCGGCUAACUACGUGCCAGCAGCCGCGGUAAUACGUAGGGUGCAAGCGUUAAUCGGAAUUACUGGGCGUAAAGCGUGCGCAGGCGGUUUUGUAAGACAGAUGUGAAAUCCCCGGGCUCAACCUGGGACCUGCAUUUGUGACUGCAAAGCUAGAGUACGGCAGAGGGGGAUGGAAUUCCGCGUGUAGCAGUGAAAUGCGUAGAUAUGCGGAGGAACACCGAUGGCGAAGGCAAUCCCCUGGGCCUGUACUGACGCUCAUGCACGAAAGCGUGGGGAGCAA
This 632-nucleotide ribosomal RNA is filed under the name uncultured bacterium. RNAcentral's name for it is "bacterial SSU rRNA". It matches the Rfam family "Bacterial small subunit ribosomal RNA", at positions 144 to 771 of the family's 1533-position model. The record is from RNAcentral.